GACGAACGCUGGCGGCGUGCUUAAUACAUGCAAGUCGAACGGAAAGGCCCUGCUUUUGUGGGUUGCUCGAGUGGCGCACGGGUGAGUAACACGUGAGUAACCUGCCCUUGACUUUGGGAUAACUUCAGGAAACUCGGGCUAAUACCCGAUAGGAGCUCCUGCUGCAUGGUGGGGGUUGGAAAGUUUCGGCGGUACGGGAUGGACUCGCGGCUUAUCCGCUUGUUGGUGGAGUAGUGGCUUACCAAGGCUUUGACGGGUAGCCGGCCUGAGAGGGUGACCGGCCACAUUGGGACUGAGAUACGGACCAGAAUCCUACGGGAGGCAGCAGUGGGGAAUAUUGCACAAUGGGCGGAAGCCUGAUGCAGCAACGCCGGGUGCGGGAUGACGGGCUUCGGGGUGUAAACCGAUUUCGACGGUGACGAAGCGGGAGUGACGGUAAUGGGUAAAGAAGCAACGGCUAACUACGUG
Molecule: ribosomal RNA, 468 nt
Filed under: uncultured bacterium
Lineage: Bacteria
Description: partial 16S ribosomal RNA
Rfam family: Bacterial small subunit ribosomal RNA
Source: RNAcentral